GACGUAGGAGGCGAGCGUUGUCCGGAUUCAUUGGGCGUAAAGAGCACGCAGGCGGUCGUGCAAGUCGCGUGUGAAAGCCCCCGGCUCAACUGGGGAGGGUCACGCGAUACUGAUCGACUCGAAGGCAGGAGAGGGUAGUGGAAUUCCCGGUGUAGUGGUGAAAUGCGUAGAUAUCGGGAGGAACACCAGUGGCGAAGGCGACUACCUGGCCUGUUCUUGACGCUGAGGCGCGAAAGCUAGGGGAGCAAACGGG
RNAcentral lists this ribosomal RNA (253 nucleotides) under uncultured bacterium. RNAcentral's name for it is "partial 16S ribosomal RNA". It matches the Rfam family "Bacterial small subunit ribosomal RNA", at positions 524 to 776 of the family's 1533-position model. The record is from RNAcentral.